Molecule: ribosomal RNA, 460 nt
Filed under: uncultured bacterium
Lineage: Bacteria
Description: partial 16S ribosomal RNA
Rfam family: Bacterial small subunit ribosomal RNA
Source: RNAcentral
CCUACGGGAGAUUGCAGUGAGGAAUAUUGGUCAAUGGACGAGAGUCUGAACCAGCCAAGUAGCGUGAAGGAUGACUGCCCUAUGGGUUGUAAACUUCUUUUAUAUGGGAAUAAAACAGGGUAUGCAUACCCUCUUGUAUGUACCAUAUGAAUAAGGAUCGGCUAACUCCGUGCCAGCAGCCGCGGUAAUACGGAGGAUCCGAGCGUUAUCCGGAUUUAUUGGGUUUAAAGGGAGCGUAGGUGGAUUGUUAAGUCAGUUGUGAAAGUUUGCGGCUCAACCGUAAAAUUGCAGUUGAAACUGGCAGUCGUGAGUACAGUAGAGGUGGGCGGAAUUCGUGGUGUAGCGGUGAAAUGCUUAGAUAUCACGAAGAACUCCGAUUGCGAAGGCAGCUCACUGGACUGCAACUGACACUGAUGCUCGAAAGUGUGGGUAUCAAACAGGAUUAGAUACCCGGGUAGUC